Molecule: ribosomal RNA, 1577 nt
Filed under: uncultured bacterium
Lineage: Bacteria
Description: bacterial SSU rRNA
Rfam family: Bacterial small subunit ribosomal RNA
Source: RNAcentral
AUUCGCCCUUAGAGGUUGAUCCUGGCUCCUUACGAACGCUGGCGGCGUGCCUAACACAUGCAAGUCGAACGAGGGUUUGGAAAGCUUGCUUUCCGAAACCUAGUGGCGGACGGGUGAGUAACGCGUGAGUAACCUGCCUUUCAGAGGGGAAUAACGUUUUGAAAAGAACGCUAAUACCGCAUAACGUACAGUUACCGCAUGGUAGCAGUACCAAAGGAGCAAUCCGCUGAAAGAUGGACUCGCGUCCGAUUAGCUAGUUGGUGGGGUAAAGGCCUACCAAGGCGACGAUCGGUAGCCGGACUGAGAGGUUGAACGGCCACAUUGGGACUGAGACACGGCCCAGACUCCUACGGGAGGCAGCAGUGGGGGAUAUUGCACAAUGGGGGAAACCCUGAUGCAGCAACGCCGCGUGUGGGAAGAAGGUUUUCGGAUUGUAAACCACUGUUCUUGGUGAAGAUAAUGACGGUAACCAAGGAGAAAGCUCCGGCUAACUACGUGCCAGCAGCCGCGGUAAUACGUAGGGAGCAAGCGUUGUCCGGAUUUACUGGGUGUAAAGGGUGCGUAGGCGGCUAGGCAAGUCAGACGUGAAAACCAUGGGCUCAACCUGUGGACUGCGUUUGAAACUGUUUAGCUUGAGUGAAGUAGAGGUAGGCGGAAUUCCCGGUGUAGCGGUGAAAUGCGUAGAGAUCGGGAGGAACACCAGUGGCGAAGGCGGCCUACUGGGCUUUAACUGACGCUGAGGCACGAAAGCAUGGGUAGCAAACAGGAUUAGAUACCCUGGUAGUCCAUGCCGUAAACGAUGAUUACUAGGUGUGGGGGGUCUGACCCCCUCCGUGCCGGAGUUCACACAAUAAGUAAUCCCCCCUGGGGAGUACCGCCGCAUGGUUGAAACUCAAAGGAAUUGACGGGGGCCCGCACAAGCUUUGGAGUAUGUGGGUUAAUUCGAAGCAACGCGGAGAACCUUACCAGGUCUUGACAUCCGACUAACGCAGUCGAGAUACAUUAGGGGCCUUUCGGGGAAAGUCAAGACAGGUGCUGCAUGGUUGUCGUCAGGUCUUGUCGAGAGAUGUUGGGAUACCUCCCGCAACGAGCGCAACCCUUGUCAUUAGCUGCUACGGUAAGAGCACUCUAAUGAGACUGCCGUUGAGGAAACCGAGGAAGAUGGGGACGACUUCAAAUCAUCAUGCCCCUUAUGACCUGGGGUGCUCACCUACUACAAUGGGCGCUUCCAGAGGGAAGCAAUACCCGAGGAGGAGCCAAACCCUAAAAACGGUCCCCGUUCCCAUUUUAGGCUGAAACUCGCCUACAUAAAAGUGGAAUUGCUACUAAUCGCGGGAUAAUCUUGCCCCGUUGAAUAUACUCCCCGGGCCUUUUCAACACGGCGGGUUAACCAUGGGGAGCGGGGAAUACCCAAAGCAGGGGUUUCCCCCUAAGGGGACCCUUUCCAGGGGGGAUUUGCCACUGGGGGGAAAACGUAAAAAGGAGACCCCAAAGGCAAAUCCCCCCCCCUAAAUGGGAAUGCCCUUUAUGGGGGGGUUUUUAUUAAAGGGGCCGGUUUUAAAAAAAGGGUUUUGAAA